GUGCCAGCAGCCGCGGUAAUACAGAGGUCUCAAGCGUUGUUCGGAAUCACUGGGCGUAAAGGGUGUGUAGGCGGCGUGAAAAGUCAGAUGUGAAAUCCGGGGGCUCAACCUCCGAAAUGCAUCCGAUACUGUCAUGCUGGAGGUCUGUAGAGGGGUCUGGAAUUCUCGGUGUAGCAGUGAAAUGCGUGGAUAUCGAGAGGAACACUUAUAGCGAAAGCAAGACCCUGGGCAGAAUCUGACGCUCAAACACGAAGGCCAGGGGAGCGAACGGGAUUAGAUACCCCUGUAGUCC
This 292-nucleotide ribosomal RNA is filed under the name uncultured bacterium. RNAcentral describes it as "partial 16S ribosomal RNA". It matches the Rfam family "Bacterial small subunit ribosomal RNA", at positions 505 to 796 of the family's 1533-position model. The record is from RNAcentral.